Molecule: ribosomal RNA, 230 nt
Filed under: uncultured bacterium
Lineage: Bacteria
Description: partial 16S ribosomal RNA
Rfam family: Bacterial small subunit ribosomal RNA
Source: RNAcentral
CUCGUAGGUGGUUCAGUAAGUCGGAUGUGAAAACUCGGGGCUCAACCCCGAGACGCCAUCCGAUACUGCUGUGACUUGAGUUCGGUAGAGGAGUGUGGAAUUCCUGGUGUAGCGGUGAAAUGCGCAGAUAUCAGGAGGAACACCGACAGCGAAGGCAGCACUCUGGGCCGAUACUGACACUGAGGAGCGAAAGCAUGGGGAGCAAACAGGAUUAGAUACCCUGGUAGUCC